GACGAACGCUGGCGGCGUGCCUAAUACAUGCAAGUAGAACGCUGAAGGAGGAGCUUGCUUCUCUGGAUGAGUUGCGAACGGGUGAGUAACGCGUAGGUAACCUGCCUGGUAGCGGGGGAUAACUAUUGGAAACGAUAGCUAAUACCGCAUAACAGUAGAUGUUGCAUGACAUUUGCUUAAAAGGUGCAAUUGCAUCACUACCAGAUGGACCUGCGUUGUAUUAGCUAGUUGGUGGGGUAACGGCUCACCAAGGCGACGAUACAUAGCCGACCUGAGAGGGUGAUCGGCCACACUGGGACUGAGACACGGCCCAGACUCCUACGGGAGGCAGCAGUAGGGAAUCUUCGGCAAUGGACGGAAGUCUGACCGAGCAACGCCGCGUGAGUGAAGAAGGUUUUCGGAUCGUAAAGCUCUGUUGUAAGAGAAGAACGAGUGUGAGAGUGGAAAGUUCACACUGUGACGGUAUCUUACCAGAAAGGGACGGCUAACUACGUGCCAGCAGCCGCGGUAAUACGUAGGUCCCGAGCGUUGUCCGGAUUUAUUGGGCGUAAAGCGAGCGCAGGCGGUUAGAUAAGUCUGAAGUUAAAGGCUGUGGCUUAACCAUAGUACGCUUUGGAAACUGUUUAACUUGAGUGCAAGAGGGGUGAGUGGAAUUCCAUGUGUAGCGGUGAAAUGCGUAGAUAUAUGGAGGAACACCGGUGGCGAAAGCGGCUCUCUGGCUUGUAACUGACGCUGAGGCUCGAAAGCGUGGGGGAGCAAACAGG
RNAcentral lists this ribosomal RNA (764 nucleotides) under uncultured Streptococcus sp. Its description in RNAcentral is "bacterial SSU rRNA". It matches the Rfam family "Bacterial small subunit ribosomal RNA", at positions 28 to 776 of the family's 1533-position model. The record is from RNAcentral. Lineage: Bacteria; Bacillati; Bacillota; Bacilli; Lactobacillales; Streptococcaceae.